CCUACGGGGGGCAGCAGUGGGGAAUAUUGGACAAUGGGGCAACCCUGAUCCAGCCAUGCCGCGUGUGUGAAGAAGGCCCUCGGGUUGUAAAGCACUUUCAGUGAGGAAGAACGCCUGGUGGUUAAUACCCAUCAGGAAAGACAUCACUCACAGAAGAAGCACCGGCUAACUCCGUGCCAGCAGCCGCGGUAAUACGGAGGGUGCGAGCGUUAAUCGGAAUUACUGGGCGUAAAGCGCGCGUAGGUGGCUUGAUAAGCCGGUUGUGAAAGCCCCGGGCUCAACCUGGGAACGGCAUCCGGAACUGUCAAGCUAGAGUGCAGGAGAGGAAGGUAGAAUUCCCGGUGUAGCGGUGAAAUGCGUAGAGAUCGGGAGGAAUACCAGUGGCGAAGGCGGCCUUCUGGACUGACACUGACACUGAGGUGCGAAAGCGUGGGUAGCAAACAGGAUUAGAUACCCUUGUAGUC
This 464-nucleotide ribosomal RNA is filed under the name Vreelandella stevensii. RNAcentral describes it as "partial 16S ribosomal RNA". It matches the Rfam family "Bacterial small subunit ribosomal RNA", at positions 338 to 795 of the family's 1533-position model. The record is from RNAcentral. Lineage: Bacteria; Pseudomonadati; Pseudomonadota; Gammaproteobacteria; Oceanospirillales; Halomonadaceae.